UACGUAGGGGCCGAGCGUUGUCCGGAGUUAUUGGGCGUAAAGCGCGCGCAGGCGGCCUCGCGCGCCCGACGUGAAAGCCCCCGGCUUAACCGGGGAGGGUCGUUGGGGACGGCGGGGCUUGAGGGCGGGAGAGGUCGGUGGAAUUCCCGGUGUAGUGGUGAAAUGCGUAGAGAUCGGGAGGAACACCUGUGGCGAAGGCGGCCGACUGGGCCGAUCCUGACGCUGAGGCGCGAAAGCCAGGGGAGCAAACGGG
This 253-nucleotide ribosomal RNA is filed under the name uncultured bacterium. RNAcentral's name for it is "partial 16S ribosomal RNA". It matches the Rfam family "Bacterial small subunit ribosomal RNA", at positions 524 to 776 of the family's 1533-position model. The record is from RNAcentral.